This 499-nucleotide ribosomal RNA is filed under the name uncultured bacterium. RNAcentral describes it as "partial 16S ribosomal RNA". It matches the Rfam family "Bacterial small subunit ribosomal RNA", at positions 28 to 507 of the family's 1533-position model. The record is from RNAcentral.
GGCGAACGCUGGCGGCGUGCCUAAUACAUGCAAGUCGAGCGAAGUUUUUCUGGUGCUUGCACCGGAAAAACUUAGCGGCGAACGGGUGAGUAACACGUAAAGAACCUGCCUCAUAGACUGGGACAACUAUUGGAAACGAUAGCUAAUACCGGAUAAUAGCAUUAACUGCAUGGUUGAUGUUUAAAAGUUGGUUUUGCUAACACUAUGAGAUGGCUUUGCGGUGCAUUAGCUAGUUGGUGGGGUAAAGGCCUACCAAGGCGACGAUGCAUAGCCGACCUGAGAGGGUGAUCGGCCACACUGGGACUGAGACACGGCCCAGACUCCUACGGGAGGCAGCAGUAGGGAAUCUUCCGCAAAGGGCGAAAGCCUGACGGAGCAACGCCGCGUGAGUGAAGAAGGAUUUCGGUUCGUAAAGCUCUGUUGUUAGGGAAGAAUGAUUGUGUAGUAACUAUACACAGUAGAGACGGUACCUAACCAGAAAGCCACGGCUAACUACGUG